Small nuclear RNA from Arvicanthis niloticus (Nile rat), 107 nucleotides. NCBI's taxonomy places the organism in Eukaryota, Metazoa, Chordata, Mammalia, Rodentia, Muridae. The record is from RefSeq and is a predicted model, not a curated record.
GUGCUCAAUUCAGCAGCACAUAUACUAAAAUUGGAACAAUACUGAGAAGAUUUGCAUGAACCCUGUAUAAUGAUGUUACAGAAAUUCAUGAAGCAUUCCAUAUUUUA